Molecule: non-coding RNA, 148 nt
Filed under: Pan troglodytes (chimpanzee)
Lineage: Eukaryota; Metazoa; Chordata; Mammalia; Primates; Hominidae
Source: Rfam by way of RNAcentral
GCCAGGUGUGGUGGCGGGUGCCAGUAAUCCCAGCUACUUAGGAGGCUGAGGCAGGAGAAUCGCUUGAGCCCAGGAGACAGAGGUUGCAGUGAGCUGAAAUCGCACCACUGCACUCUAGCCUGGGCAACAGAGUGAGACUCUGUCUCAG